GAUCAACGCUGGCGGCGUGCCUAAUGCAUGCAAGUCGGACGGCUUCGGUUUCGGCCGGGGCACGUGGCGGACGGGUGAGGAACGCGUGGGCAAGCUGCCCUGGGGUGGGGGGUAGCCCUCGGAAACGGGGGGUAAUUCCGCAUGUGCUCCCGGUCUCGUGGGGACCGUGAGGAAAGGCCCUUCGGGUCGCCCUGGGAGGCGCCUGCGGCCGAUUAGCUGGUUGGCGGGGUGGACGGCCCACCAAGGCGGUGANCGGUAGCUGGUCUGAGAGGACGGCCAGCCACACGGGGACUGAGACACGGCCCCGACUCCUACGGGAGGCAGCAGCAAGGAAUUUUCCGCAAUGGGCGCAAGCCUGACGGAGCAACGCCGCGUGGGGGAGGACGCC
This 388-nucleotide ribosomal RNA is filed under the name uncultured bacterium. RNAcentral's name for it is "bacterial SSU rRNA". It matches the Rfam family "Bacterial small subunit ribosomal RNA", at positions 28 to 415 of the family's 1533-position model. The record is from RNAcentral.